UGAGGAAUAUUGGUCAAUGGACGCAAGUCUGAACCAGCCAAGCAGCGUGCAGGAUGACGGCCCUAUGGGUUGUAAACUGCUUUUAUAUGGGGAUAAAGUGGGGAACGUGUUCCCUUUUGCAGGUACCAUAUGAAUAAGGACCGGCUAAUUCCGUGCCAGCAGCCGCGGUAAUACGGAAGGUUCGGGCGUUAUCCGGAUUUAUUGGGUUUAAAGGGAGCGUAGGCCGUUUGGUAAGCGUGUUGUGAAAUGUAGGAGCUCAACUUCUAGAUUGCAGCGCGAACUGUCAGACUUGAGUGCGCACAACGUAGGCGGAAUUCAUGGUGUAGCGGUGAAAUGCUUAGAUAUCAUGAAGAACUCCGAUUGCGAAGGCAGCUUACGGGAGCGCAACUGACGCUGAAGCUCGAAGGUGCGGGUAUCGAACAGG
Molecule: ribosomal RNA, 424 nt
Filed under: Verrucomicrobiota bacterium
Lineage: Bacteria; Pseudomonadati; Verrucomicrobiota
Description: Verrucomicrobia bacterium partial 16S ribosomal RNA
Rfam family: Bacterial small subunit ribosomal RNA
Source: RNAcentral